Molecule: non-coding RNA, 74 nt
Organism: Spirochaetes bacterium GWC1_61_12
Lineage: Bacteria; Pseudomonadati; Spirochaetota
Source: Rfam
GGGGAUGUAGCUCAGUUGGCUAGAGCGCUUGAAUGGCAUUCAAGAGGUCGUCGGUUCAAUUCCGAUCAUCUCCA